GUGCUCACUUCAGCAGCACAUAUACUAACAUUGGAACAAUUCAGAGAUUAGCAUGGCCCCUGCACAAGAAAAAUCUGGUUUUUUAACUGAUCUAGUUCAUCAAA
This is a small nuclear RNA of Suncus etruscus (white-toothed pygmy shrew), 104 nucleotides long. Lineage: Eukaryota; Metazoa; Chordata; Mammalia; Eulipotyphla; Soricidae. The record is from RefSeq and is a predicted model, not a curated record.